Long non-coding RNA from Sander lucioperca (pikeperch), 1240 nucleotides. RefSeq lists it as uncharacterized. The transcript is spliced from 7 exons. The record is from RefSeq and is a predicted model, not a curated record. Lineage: Eukaryota; Metazoa; Chordata; Actinopteri; Perciformes; Percidae.
GACCUUUGAGCUCUGCGUGUCUCGAGAUAAUAUGCUCGAAAGAGGUCUGAAAUUAUGGAAGCGCAACAAAAAGGCUACACCACUUGAUCCCUUGUGGAUCAAAUUCCUUGGAGAGACGGGGAUUGAUACAGGGGCCCUUAGAUUAGUUUCUGACCACAAUGGUAUCUGGGAUUGAGCAAUGCCUUUUUGAAGGUGGGAAGUCCAAAAUGCCCAAAUACUCUGUGAAUGACUUUGAUGAAGAGCUCUUCAGGAUUGCAGAUGAAAUCUUUGCUACAAGCAUUGCCAAAGGUGGACCUGCACCACGUUUCCUCUAGCGGUGGUGCUACGACUUUCUAGUAUCUGGCAAGCUCUCAUUGGAUCACGUCCUGGACCCGAGCUUAUCACCGCUAAUAAUAACAGUUGCAGAGGCGUCCGACAUGACCGACUACAUUGCAGACAUUAUGGAUUGUGGCUAUACUGGCAAGAUUGACAUGGAACACAAAGAGAACAUUCUAAGAGCAAUCGGUCUGCAUGUCAUGACGAAAAGAAUGCACAUGCUUCAGCAACUCCGUGAGGGCUUGGACAUCUACGGCUUCUCCCAAGUGAUGCAGGCAAAGAAGAGUGCCGCAGUCUGUUUGUCGCCAGAGACGACGAGUCGGUGGACUCUCAUUACAUCACUUCCCAUCUGGCGCCGGAGAUGAGCGAAAGGGGCUGCAACAAGUACCACAAGGAGACCCAGAUCCUUGAACACUUUCAAGACUUACUGCAUGAGCUGGAAGUUGCUGAACCAGAUGCCACGUCUGAAGACAUCACAACUGUACCCUCAGUGAUGCAGUGGAUUACGGGUCAUGCCCACAGACAUCUUCUUUCUGAUUGCCAGAACUUCAAGAUCACAGUGAAGUUUGAUCAUGACUGUCACAAGAUGCCUAACCACACAAUCUGUUAUCCAACAGUCAGCGCUUGCACAGACACCAUAAAAUUCCCUGUUGCACACAUGUCAGACUAUGGGUCUUUCAAAAACGUCAUGACAACAGCCAUUAAAUAUGGUGCAGGAUUUGAUAGAGCGUGAUGCAUUGUGAUUCACGUGUGUAAACCCACUUGUUAUAUCCUCGAAUAUGGCCGGAUUCCACAGGGGAGUUGGGAACUUGCAUAGCAGGGUCUUAAACCUUUACAUACUGUUCAGGGUCAAAUUUGACCAAUUUUAACAUUUGACAGCUGUACAAACACAUUUCUGCUCGGUGGACUUUGUCGAAUGUGACUC